Eupeodes corollae is the source of this 1143-nucleotide long non-coding RNA. RefSeq lists it as uncharacterized. The record is from RefSeq and is a predicted model, not a curated record. NCBI's taxonomy places the organism in Eukaryota, Metazoa, Arthropoda, Insecta, Diptera, Syrphidae. The transcript has 5 exons.
AAAUUAAAAAGAAAACAAAAUACAAUUUCUGCGAUUUAAAUUUUAAUUAAAUCAAAACAAAAGUGAAAAUUAAUAAAAACAAAGUUGUUAAUAGUAUUCCUGAUUAACUGUUUUAUCUAUAUUAUAUAAAUAAUUUCAUACAAAAUGAUCCAGAGUCAACUAUUUCAUCGAUCUAAAAAGUGACUUCAUCAUAUCCGAAGAAAUAUUUCCCUACGUAACUUGGCUCUAGCUGAUAGAGGAUUCUUUCAGGAUCUUUUUGCAGACACCGCUGGUCCAGAAAUGGCAAAACUUUUCACAGGUAAACAACAAAACAAUCUACGCCGGCUUUGAUCCAGCUGCCGAUAGUCACACGUUGGCAAUCUCCUGGUAAUAAUUGGACUUCUGCAUGGCAUCGAGAAAGACACAAUCCAAUUGCGUUUGUUGGAAUACGGGUCUUAUCAGUAAUCCUAGUGGCAAAACAAAACGAAAUAAAGGGUUGUCGGUCAUUGAGACAAAUUAGAGUCGUCAACAAUGCAUCAUAGUACGAAAAUCUGAAUGUAGGAUUACUGCUCUCAAUAUCGUCAGUCCAGUCGCGACUUCAUAGUGCAGCUGGAAUGAGCUUUACCGAAUUCACAUAACAAAUUUUCCAGGGUUAUGACUUGUUGCUUCAGAAAUACAAUUGUCGCUUUCAAAUGGGAGGCAGUGAACAAAUGGGUAAUUUAAUGACUGGCCACGAACUAUCAGCAGAGUAGAAAAAAAGAAAUCAGUAUUUGGAUUGACACUUCCAAUAAAUUGUGACCAACGAAGGAGAAGACAAGUUCAGAAAAUCUGCUGGCAAGUCUAUGGAGAGGUAUGUCUAAAACAAGACGAAAAAGUCAAAGAGGCGCUCUGUAAGGGAAAUGUUGAAGGACUAGGUUAACUGAAUUACAACGAAACCCGAUCGUUGAGAUUUUUUCAGAGCCUGGACUAUCCAUUCUUGAUCUGGCACUAAAAGCUAAAUGUUUUACAACAGAGACUGAUGCGAUCAGAAUCAUCACAACUGGAGGGUUCUAUAUCAAUCAAAAGUAAAUGUAGUUUAUGUGUUACGUUCCCAUUUUCAUAUGUUUUGUAUUUUAUUUAUUUAUUACAUCAAUUAGAGUUAAGAGUGUACUCAAAUAGACUAAU